Molecule: transfer RNA, 73 nt
Filed under: Patescibacteria group bacterium
Lineage: Bacteria
Description: tRNA-Ala
Rfam family: tRNA
About the family: Transfer RNA (tRNA) molecules are approximately 80 nucleotides in length. Their secondary structure includes four short double-helical elements and three loops (D, anti-codon, and T loops).
Source: RNAcentral
GGGCCGUUAGCUCAUCUGGUAGAGCGUCGUCAUGGCAUGGCGAAGGUGGCCGGUUCAAGUCCGGCACGGUCCA